This 329-nucleotide unclassified non-coding RNA is filed under the name soil metagenome. RNAcentral's name for it is "partial contains 5.8S ribosomal RNA, internal transcribed spacer 2, and large subunit ribosomal RNA". The stretch from base 1 to 120 matches the Rfam family "5.8S ribosomal RNA", at positions 35 to 154 of the family's 154-position model. The record is from RNAcentral.
GAUGAAGAACGCAGCGAAAUGCGAUAAGUAAUGUGAAUUGCAGAAUUCAGUGAAUCAUCGAAUCUUUGAACGCACAUUGCGCCCUCUGGUAUUCCGGGGGGCAUGCCUGUUCGAGCGUCAUUAUAACCACUCAAGCUCUCGCUUGGUAUUGGAGUUCGCGAUCUCGCGGUUCCUAAAAUCAGUGGCGGUGCCUGUCGGCUCUACGCGUAGUAAUACUCCUCGCGAUUGAGUCCGGUAGGUUUACUUGCCAGCAACCCCCAAUUUUUACAGGUUGACCUCGGAUCAGGUAGGGAUACCCGCUGAACUUAAGCAUAUCAAUAAGCGGAGGA